This 67-nucleotide transfer RNA is filed under the name Rhinebothrium flexile. RNAcentral describes it as "tRNA-Leu". Lineage: Eukaryota; Metazoa; Platyhelminthes; Cestoda; Rhinebothriidea; Rhinebothriidae. The record is from RNAcentral.
GCAGAAAUGCCAGAGACUUAUAUGGGGUUGGUUUAGGACUAAUUUACGGUUCAAAUACCUUUUUGCU